Ictalurus furcatus (blue catfish) is the source of this 519-nucleotide non-coding RNA. NCBI's taxonomy places the organism in Eukaryota, Metazoa, Chordata, Actinopteri, Siluriformes, Ictaluridae. The record is from the annotation of a RefSeq genome assembly.
AUGACUGAGAGCUGCUGCUACAGCAACUUCACCCACAGCUACCAUGACCUUGAUCCCCGUCUUCAUCUGGACACUGAUCCUCUGGACUCAAGACUCACUGUUUCUAUUAUAAUAUUUCACUUACUUAAAAUUUAUGUUACAUUAAAAAUAUUUUUUUCAGAAUGCAGCAGUCAAGCCACAGUAACUCAGACUCCUGCAGUGAAAUCUGCUCUUCCAGGAGAAACAGUCACCAUCAACUGUAGAACCAGUCAGGCAGUGAGCAAGGACUCAAAUGCAGUCUCUUGGUAUCAGCAGAAACCUGGAGAAGCUCCUAAACUACUGAUCAUAAAAGCAAAUCAGCUACAGUCGGGUAUUCCAGCUCGUUUCAGUGGCAGUGGAUCUGGAUCUGAUUUCACUCUGACCAUCAGUGGAGUCCAGACUGAAGAUGCAGGAGAUUAUUACUGUCAGAGUUACCACAGUGGUGCUGUGUUCACACAGUGUUAUAGAGUCGUACAAAAACCUCCCUCACUCAGAUUGUAG